This is a non-coding RNA of Lactuca sativa (garden lettuce), 905 nucleotides long. Lineage: Eukaryota; Viridiplantae; Streptophyta; Magnoliopsida; Asterales; Asteraceae. The record is from RefSeq and is a predicted model, not a curated record.
UUUGAUUAGAUUCCCAGUUGAAAAUAUUUAUGUGGUUAUGACAGAUGGUGCUUCUCAUGCUGUGGUUAUGACAUAGCAAAGUUCAGUGAAGGGGGGUAUUUUGGAGAAUGGACACUUCUUGGUGAAUACGUUGAUUCUUUACAUAUUGUUGCUUUAGGUGAUGUAGUUUGUGUAGUUUUAACAAAGGAAAAGUUUGAAUUGAUUAUUAGCCCUGUGUCAUAGACCUUACAAGAUGGGUACAGGUAAGAAAUCCCACAAUAACCAAAAAAAGGUACUGCCAAGUUUCUAAUUCUUUAUUAAUCAAUUGUUCAGGUCAGUAUGCAGUUUGACUUAAUUGCUCUUGUCAUAGUGAAUUACGCAAUCGUAACUCAGAACGACUUAAUGUUUUUGAUUUAUAACUUAUUUGUUGCAUUAGUGAUGGUUUUCCAGAAUUGAUUGUUGUGUAUGCAAUGUCUAUUUCAUCGCUGAAUUCGUGUUAAUAAAUUGUGUAUAUGCUAUUUAGCCAAAGAUGGUGAUUAGCCACAAGGCAAGGAUGGGAGAUCUGGUGCUACGGGAUCUCUAUGCUCCGAUGAUAGACUCAGGGCUGAGGAGAAUGGUGUAAAUGAUUUCCUUCCUCUUGGAAACUAAGAGAAAGUUGUAAAAGAAAUUGAUGAUCAGCCACUUCCACUUGUUGAUGGGAUUGAAGAUCAACUUGUGGAGUUUUCGAUAGCCAUGAGAAGUAUGAUUGCUUUCAUUCGGGUGAAAUAAAAGUAGGAUGCUUUUGUUAAUAAUAAGGUCCAACAUUUGCUAAGAAUCUUGGAAACUUUGAGCAAAAAGUAGGAGGCUCGGGAUCCUUGAAACACUAUCCAAUUGAGCUUGAAAAUGGUGAAAAAUCUCAGAGGUGUUGUGGAGAAAAUGGGAUUUGC